AGAAUCAACGCUGGCGGCGUGCCUAACACAUGCAAGUCGAACGAGAAAGUGGAGCAAUCCACGAGUAAAGUGGCGCACGGGUGAGUAACACGUGACUAACCUACCCUUGAGUGGGGAAUAACCUCGGGAAACCGGGGCUAAUACCGCAUAACACCUACGGGUCAAAGGAGCAAUUCGCUUAAGGAGGGGGUCGCGGCAGAUUAGUUAGUUGGCGGGGUAAUGGCCCACCAAGACGGUGAUCUGUAUCCGGCCUGAGAGGGCGCACGGACACACUGGAACUGAAACACGGUCCAGACUCCUACGGGAGGCAGCAGUGGGGAAUUUUGCGCAAUGGGGGAAACCCUGACGCAGCAACGCCGCGUGGAGGAUGAAGUCCCUUGGGACGUAAACUCCUUUCGAUCGGGACGAUUAUGACGGUACCGGAAGAAGAAGCCCCGGCUAACUUCGCGCCAGCAGCCGC
This 460-nucleotide ribosomal RNA is filed under the name uncultured bacterium. Its description in RNAcentral is "SSU rRNA". It matches the Rfam family "Bacterial small subunit ribosomal RNA", at positions 26 to 518 of the family's 1533-position model. The record is from RNAcentral.